UGGGGAAUAUUGCACAAUGGGCGAAAGCCUGAUGCAGCAAUGCCGCGUGAGUGAUGAAGGUCUUCGGAUUGUAAAGCUCUGUCUUUUGGGACGAUAAUGACGGUACCAAAGGAGGAAGCCACGGCUAACUACGUGCCAGCAGCCGCGGUAAUACGUAGGUGGCGAGCGUUGUCCGGAUUUACUGGGCGUAAAGGGUGCGUAGGCGGAUGUUUAAGUGAGAUGUGAAAUACCCGGGCUUAACUUGGGUGCUGCAUUUCAAACUGGAUAUCUAGAGUGCAGGAGAGGAGAAUGGAAUUCCUAGUGUAGCGGUGAAAUGCGUAGAGAUUAGGAAGAACACCAGUGGCGAAGGCGAUUCUCUGGACUGUAACUGACGCUGAGGCACGAAAGCGUGGGUAGCAAACAGGAUUAGAUACCCUGGUAGUCCACGCCGUAAACGAUGAGUACUAGGUGUAGGAGGUAUCGACCCCUUCUGUGCCGCAGUAAACACAUUAAGUACUCCGCCUGGGAAGUACGAUCGCAAGAUUAAAACUCUAAAGUGAAUUGAC
RNAcentral lists this ribosomal RNA (545 nucleotides) under uncultured bacterium. RNAcentral's name for it is "partial 16S ribosomal RNA". It matches the Rfam family "Bacterial small subunit ribosomal RNA", at positions 355 to 914 of the family's 1533-position model. The record is from RNAcentral.